This 383-nucleotide long non-coding RNA is filed under the name Pan troglodytes (chimpanzee). RNAcentral describes it as "long non-coding RNA NONPTRT003515". The record is from RNAcentral. Lineage: Eukaryota; Metazoa; Chordata; Mammalia; Primates; Hominidae.
GGAGAACAGUGCCUUCCCAGCAGCCUCUGCCCCGGACCCAGAUACCCAGCGGUGGGAUUGCUAGAUCAGACAGAGCCAAUUGAUGAUCAGCAGGGCCUGAAAACGCCAAAAUCCUGAAACAACUGAUCUUUGAAAACUUCAACAUCCCUGAACGAAACGUCCAAACACAUUUAUCCACCAAUCAAAGACCCUUUAUAGUCUGUGCUCUGUGCAUCUCAGAAGUCUCUCUUUACCACACUGUCUAUAUACUGCAUGAGCCAUUAUAUGAAACUCCAAAGCAUCUUAUACUAUAUAUUCAACCAUGUAUCCCUAGUACCUAGUACAGUCCUGCCAUAUAGUUUGCUACUAAACAUUUGCAGAAUGAACUAAUUAUCUUGUAUCCA